AUGCAAGUCGAACGAAUCCCAGUCUUGUAGCAAUACCGGGCUGGGGGAAGUGGCGAAAGGGGCAGUAAUGCAUGGGUAACCUACCCCGGGGACGGGGAUAGCCAUUCUAACGAGUGGGUAAUACCUGGCGAUUUGGCGGAGGGGCAUCUCUCUGCCAGGAAAUGAAUUUCGCCUCGGGAGGGGCUCAUGUGAUAUUAGCUAGUUGGUGAGGUAACGGCUCACCAAGGCAAAGAUGUCUAGCGGGUGUGAGAGCACGACCCGCGCCACUGGCACUGAGACACUGGCCAGACACCUACGGGUGGCUGCAGUCGAGGAUCUUCGGCAAUGGGCGCAAGCCUGACCGAGCGACGCCGCGUGUGCGAUGAAGGCCUUCGGGUUGUAAAGCACUGUCGAGGGGGAUAAAGGCGCAAGCUUGAUAUAUCCCUGGAGGAAGCACGGGCUAAGUUCGUGCCAGCAGCCGCGGUAAGACGAACCGUGCAAACGUUGUUCGGAAUCACUGGGCUUAAAGGGCGCGUAGGCGGCUUGCCAAGUCAGUGGUGAAAUCCUGCAGCUUAACUGUAGAAGUGCCUUUGAUACUGGCGAGCUAGAGCGAGGUAGGGGUCUGUGGAACUUCUGGUGGAGCGGUGAAAUGCGUUGAUAUCAGAAGGAACGCCGGUGGCGAAAGCGACGGACUGGAUCUUUUUCUGACGCUGAGGCGCGAAAGCCAGGGGAGCAAACGGGAUUAGA
This 726-nucleotide ribosomal RNA is filed under the name uncultured Planctomycetota bacterium. RNAcentral's name for it is "bacterial SSU rRNA". It matches the Rfam family "Bacterial small subunit ribosomal RNA", at positions 55 to 782 of the family's 1533-position model. Lineage: Bacteria; Pseudomonadati; Planctomycetota. The record is from RNAcentral.